RNAcentral lists this ribosomal RNA (468 nucleotides) under uncultured bacterium. RNAcentral's name for it is "partial 16S ribosomal RNA". It matches the Rfam family "Bacterial small subunit ribosomal RNA", at positions 28 to 507 of the family's 1533-position model. The record is from RNAcentral.
GACGAACGCUGGCGGCGUGCUUAACACAUGCAAGUCGAACGGAAAGGCCUUGCUUUUGUGGGGUGCUCGAGUGGCGAACGGGUGAGUAACACGUGAGUAACCUGCCCUUGAUUUUGGGAUAACUUCAGGAAACUGGGGCUAAUACCGGAUAGGAGCUCCUGCUGCAUGGUGGGGGUUGGAAAGUUUCGGCGGUUGGGGAUGGACUCGCGGCUUAUCAGCUUGUUGGUGGGGUAGUGGCUUACCAAGGCUUUGACGGGUAGCCGGCCUGGGAGGGUGACCGGGCACGUUGGGACUGGGAUACGGCCCAGACUCCUACGGGAGGCAGCAGUGGGAAAUGUUGCACAAUGGGCGGAAGCCUGAUGCAGCAACGCCGCGUGCGGGAUGACGGCCUUCGGGUUGUAACCCGCUUUCGCCUGUGACGAAGAGUGAGUGACGGUAAUGGGUAAAGAAGCACCGGCUAACUACGUG